This 688-nucleotide ribosomal RNA is filed under the name Colocasiomyia scindapsae. Its description in RNAcentral is "partial large subunit ribosomal RNA". It matches the Rfam family "Eukaryotic large subunit ribosomal RNA", at positions 74 to 630 of the family's 3401-position model. The record is from RNAcentral. Lineage: Eukaryota; Metazoa; Arthropoda; Insecta; Diptera; Drosophilidae.
AUUUUCUUAGUAGCGGCGAGCGAAAAGAAAUCAGUUCAGCACUAAGUCACUUUGUCUAUAUGGCAAAUGUGAGAUGCAGUGUAUGGAACAUCAAUAUUCUGGUAUGACAAAUUAACUAUUUAAGUCCUUCUUAAAUGAGGCCAUUUACCCAUAGAGGGUGCCAGGCCCGUAUAACGUUAAUGAUUACUAGAUGGUGUUUCCAAAGAGUCGUGUUGCUUGAUAGUGCAGCACUAAGUGGGUGGUAAACUCCAUCUAAAACUAAAUAUAACCAUGAGACCGAUAGUAAACAAGUACCGUGAGGGAAAGUUGAAAAGAACUCUGAAUAGAGAGUUAAAUAGUACGUGAAACUGCUUAGAGGUUAAGCCCGAUGAACCUGAAUAUCCAUUAUUGAAAAUUCAUCAUUAAAGUAAUAAUAUUUAAAUAAUAUUGUGACGAUAGUGUGCAUUUUUUUGAUAUAAGGACAUUGUAAUCUAUUAGCAUACAAUAAAUUUAUCAUAAAAAAUGUCUUAUAGUUUAUUUAAAUUAAUAUGCUUGCAUUUUUAACAUAAAAUAAAUGUCAUUCAAUUUGAUAAAGUGUUGAUAGAUUAAUAUCAAAUACAGUGCGUUAAUUUUUCGAAAUUAUAUAAUGACAUAGAAAAUAUUUUUUUUAUAUUUAUUAUAAGCACUUGUAUGAUUAACAAUGCGAAAG